GCCCUUCAAGUAUAUUUCAAGCUCAAUUUCUACAUCAUUCAUGAUUCAAGAGAGUUCAAGUUCACUAUCUAUCCAUACAAGAGAAUUCUAAACUUCUUCAAAUUACAUUUUUCAUGGUACAAGAACAAGAAUGAAAGUUGUCUACUUGUUUACACUUUCAACACCAAUCAAGAAUCAAAACUCCAAUUGAGUUCUUUCAAGAGAGCCAUUCAUCACUUUUCUAUUAAAUUCCAAAAUUACAAAGAAAUUGUCCACACAAGUUCAAGAAUUCAAUUUAGUCUUUACAAGGAAAUUCAUUCCAAAUUUGCAAGAAACAUAAUUCAAGACUACAAAAAAAAAAGAGUUCUCUACAACAUCAAGCCUAAAGUCUUCAAAUUACUUCAUUCAUGUCACAAAGAUUCAAACAAGUUCAUUCUACAUGUUACAAAUUUCUCAAGAUGCAAAGUUCUUGAUGACAAAAGGAUGCAAAGCUUCACAACUUCAUCCUCUAAACUCCAAGUGGUCACUAUUUCUUCUUCUCCAACAAUUCCUCUCCAUGCCAAUAACACCAUCACCACAUGA
Molecule: non-coding RNA, 561 nt
Organism: Vicia faba (fava bean)
Lineage: Eukaryota; Viridiplantae; Streptophyta; Magnoliopsida; Fabales; Fabaceae
Source: the annotation of a GenBank genome assembly